RNAcentral lists this transfer RNA (72 nucleotides) under Bos taurus (domestic cattle). It matches the Rfam family "tRNA". From Rfam's summary of the family: Transfer RNA (tRNA) molecules are approximately 80 nucleotides in length. Their secondary structure includes four short double-helical elements and three loops (D, anti-codon, and T loops). RNAcentral also lists the same sequence under 2 other names. The record is from Rfam by way of RNAcentral. Lineage: Eukaryota; Metazoa; Chordata; Mammalia; Artiodactyla; Bovidae.
UCCUUGGUGGCUCAGAUGAUAGAGAAUCUGCCUGAAACUCAGGAGACCCAGGUUCAAUCCCUGGGUCGGGAA